AUAACAUAUGUUGAUCUAUACAUAAAUAUACAUAAUAUGUAUCAAAACAUGAGUCCAGCUACUAUAUUCUUAUGAGUAUAUAGUCUUUUGUACUCAUAAAUUUUUUGUCGUUAAAUCUAUUCUUUAAUCAUUUUCAUCCGUUAGAUUAUACUAUUUAACCAACCAGCCACUCAACCCUAGGGGACCCACUAUUAAUCUAACAGUAACUACUAGAUCUAAUAUCCUAACCACACAUUUUUUUAAUCUGAACGACUGAAAAUUUAUGAGUACAAAGAACUCUAUACUCAUAUGAGUAUAGUAGCCCCAGCCAUCAAAACAUAACUAUUAGUGAACAGGAUAAAUUUA
This 345-nucleotide long non-coding RNA is filed under the name Ananas comosus (pineapple). Its description in RNAcentral is "long non-coding RNA (ACOM_LNC013227)". Lineage: Eukaryota; Viridiplantae; Streptophyta; Magnoliopsida; Poales; Bromeliaceae. The record is from RNAcentral.